Molecule: ribosomal RNA, 462 nt
Filed under: uncultured bacterium
Lineage: Bacteria
Description: partial 16S ribosomal RNA
Rfam family: Bacterial small subunit ribosomal RNA
Source: RNAcentral
ACGCUGGCGGCGUGCUUAACACAUGCAAGUCGAACGGAAAGGCCCUGCUUUUGUGGGGUGCUCGAGUGGCGAACGGGUGAGUAACACGUGAGUAACCUGCCCUUGACUUUGGGAUAACUUCAGGAAACUGGGGCUAAUACCGGAUAGGAGCUCCUGCUGCAUGGUGGGGGUUGGAAAGUUUCGGCGGUUGGGGAUGGACUCGCGGCUUAUCAGCUUGUUGGUGGGGUAGUGGCUUACCAAGGCUUUGACGAGUAGCCGGCCUGGGAGGGUGACCGGCCACAUGGGACUUAGGUACCGCCCAGACUCCUUAGGGAGGCAGCAGGGGGGAAUAUUGCACAAUGGGCCGAAGCCUGAUUCAGCAACGCCGCGUGGGGGAUGACCGCCUUCGGGUUGUAAACCGCUUUCGCCUGUGACGAAGCGUGAGUGACGGUAAUGGGUAAAGAAGCACCGGCUAACUACGUG